AGUGUGUUUAUCCCUCAGCUCUCUGUGUCUGAUCAGUGUGACCGUGGGAACACGUGGAGCAAACGCUGGAGCAGAGGAAGCUCCGGCUCUCAGGUCGGCCUUCUUCUGGCGCUCCAAAUGGACUUCGGCAGACAUAUUUGCACCUUAAUGAAUAUCUCCACUGCUAAGAUCUCCACUUUCCAAUUUCUUUGUGAGGUAAAGCGAUUCAAGCCGCUGAGCUGCUCUAAAUAGGUGCCACUGUGAAUUGGCGACAGAUGGAAACGAAGGUUCCCUGCAGAGUGGUUCCCCUGCAGCUGUGCUGUGUACCCGGUGCCAGGGAGUGAUGACAGCUCAGCAAGGGGGCACCCAGAGACAUAGAAGACAGCACCAUCUCCAUCUCACUUACGCCCUCCCUAGAACACACUAGCAGGCUGUGCAAAGGUGCAAAGAGGAGGGGUGUUAGCUCCAAUACCAGCCUCGAGGAAUGUGAAAGUAGAGAUUUAAGCAACCCUGUUCGCUGCAGCAGCUCCCGCCACCACCAAGCAAGGCCUUUCUUGAUCAAGACAAGCUAGGAGAACAUAAAAGCAGAGCCAAGUCCAUCUUUUUGCUACUUUGCAUGGAUUUAAUCAAAUUGCUUGUCUUAACAGGCUGACCUUUCUGAAUAAAUA
This is a long non-coding RNA of Cottoperca gobio, 647 nucleotides long. RefSeq lists it as uncharacterized. NCBI's taxonomy places the organism in Eukaryota, Metazoa, Chordata, Actinopteri, Perciformes, Bovichtidae. The record is from RefSeq and is a predicted model, not a curated record. The transcript is spliced from 3 exons.